RNAcentral lists this ribosomal RNA (498 nucleotides) under uncultured bacterium. Its description in RNAcentral is "partial 16S ribosomal RNA". It matches the Rfam family "Bacterial small subunit ribosomal RNA", at positions 28 to 507 of the family's 1533-position model. The record is from RNAcentral.
GACGAACGCUGGCGGCGUGCCUAAUACAUGCAAGUCGAACGAGAGCGACCGGUGCUUGCACUGGUCAAUCUAGUGGCGAACGGGUGAGUAACACGUGGGUAACCUGCCCAUCAGAGGGGGAUAACAUUCGGAAACGGAUGCUAAAACCGCAUAGGUCUUCGAACCGCAUGGUUUGAAGAGGAAAAGAGGCGCAAGCUUCUGCUGAUGGAUGGACCCGCGGUGCAUUAGCUAGUUGGUGAGGUAACGGCUCACCAAGGCCGUGAUGCAUAGCCGACCUGAGAGGGUGAUCGGCCACAUUGGGACUGAGACACGGCCCAAACUCCUACGGGAGGCAGCAGUAGGGAAUCUUCCGCAAUGGACGCAAGUCUGACGGAGCAACGCCGUGUGAGUGAAGAAGGUUUUCGGAUCGUAAAACUCUGUUGUUAGAGAAGAAUAAGUGCUAGAGUAACUGUUAGCGCCUUGACGGUAUCUAACCAGAAAGCCACGGCUAACUACGUG